Tyto alba (common barn owl) is the source of this 373-nucleotide long non-coding RNA. RefSeq lists it as uncharacterized. The record is from RefSeq and is a predicted model, not a curated record. NCBI's taxonomy places the organism in Eukaryota, Metazoa, Chordata, Aves, Strigiformes, Tytonidae. The transcript has 3 exons.
GCACUCGGGCCCCUCUCGGCUGCCGCUGCCGCCAUCUUGCGGGCCCCGCCGCCGUUCGCCUGCAUCCGCCGCCAUCCGCCGCCCCCGCCGCCGUCCGCCCGCCGGGACUGAGCGCGGCGCCUCCGUGCCGCCAUGAGGGCUAAGUGGCGCAAGAAGCGAAUGCGCAGACUGAAGCGCAAGAGGAGGAAGAUGAGGCAGAGGUCCAAGUAGGCCCCGCCGCGGAGCCGCCGCCGCCGCCGGGGACACGUCCCGGUGCCGCGGGGAGGAGGGGGCCCCGUGCUGCGGGGCGGGGGGGGGGGGGACCCGCUGCGCCGGGCCGGGUGUGCGCUUCGCGGUGGUCGUUGUGCCGCGAAUAAAGCUGUUGGUAUUGGAA